This 578-nucleotide ribosomal RNA is filed under the name uncultured Ruegeria sp. Its description in RNAcentral is "bacterial SSU rRNA". It matches the Rfam family "Bacterial small subunit ribosomal RNA", at positions 337 to 934 of the family's 1533-position model. The record is from RNAcentral. Lineage: Bacteria; Pseudomonadati; Pseudomonadota; Alphaproteobacteria; Rhodobacterales; Roseobacteraceae.
UCCUACGGGAGGCAGCAGUGGGGAAUCUUGGACAAUGGGGGCAACCCUGAUCCAGCCAUGCCGCGUGAGUGAUGAAGGCCUUAGGGUCGUAAAGCUCUUUCGCCUGUGAAGAUAAUGACUGUAGCAGGUAAAGAAACCCCGGCUAACUCCGUGCCAGCAGCCGCGGUAAUACGGAGGGGGUUAGCGUUGUUCGGAAUUACUGGGCGUAAAGCGCGCGUAGGCGGACUGGAAAGUUGGGGGUGAAAUCCCAGGGCUCAACCCUGGAACUGCCUCCAAAACUAUCAGUCUAGAGUUCGAGAGAGGUGAGUGGAAUUCCGAGUGUAGAGGUGAAAUUCGUAGAUAUUCGGAGGAACACCAGUGGCGAAGGCGGCUCACUGGCUCGAUACUGACGCUGAGGUGCGAAAGUGUGGGGAGCAAACAGGAUUAGAUACCCUGGUAGUCCACACCGUAAACGAUGAAUGCCAGUCGUCGGGUAGCAUGCUAUUCGGUGACACACCUAACGGAUUAGGCAUUCCGCCUGGGGAGUACGGUCGCAAGAUUAAAACUCAAAGGAAUUGACGGAUCGAAUUCCCGCGGCC